Molecule: long non-coding RNA, 9359 nt
Organism: Acinonyx jubatus (cheetah)
Lineage: Eukaryota; Metazoa; Chordata; Mammalia; Carnivora; Felidae
Exons: 2
Source: RefSeq, a predicted model, not a curated record
AGCCCAAUGAGGGGCUCGAAUCACCGACUGCGCGAUCAUGACCUGAGCUGAAAUCAAGAGUCAGACACUUAGCCGACUGAGCCACCUGGGGGCCCCAUAUUUCUUUUUUUGAUAAGGACUCUUCUUUGGUUUGGUUCACUCUUGACGGGUCAACAAAACCUGGUGGUUCAGAGCUUGGCUCUGGAUCUCCACUUGCUGGCCUCAGGUUUUGGGUCUCACAUUUCCCAGCUGUGCAACCUUGGGCAAUCUGCUUCACCUCUCUGUGCAUCCGCUCACUCAAACAAAAAUUGGACGGCAAUAACUGUUACUGUGCACCAGUGAACACAUGUCCCUUACUUAUAAGGGCUAGAACAGGUUAGCUGUUUCAGGAUGCCAACAAUCAGGAAAUACAUGGAGGACAGUCCCACGAGGUGCUGGGGCAUGAGGAAAUUAACAUUGUGCAAAAGAGCACCGGGCUGUGAGUGGGCAUUCUGUCCACCUCACCUACAACAUCACAGCAUCACGUGGCACAAACAUAAAGCAGUCAUUUUUAAAAGUCAAAACCAUGUCUUGAGCUGGGACUAUUUUCUCUCAUUUAAAGUUUUGGGAAUUUGCCAUGAGGUGCGAAAUAACCCACUGGUAUAUACUGGAUUCUUAGAGAGUGGUCCAUGACUCAGACUCCUCAAAGGAAGUAAGACUGCUCCACGCAAAGCCUUUAGAAGUCAUUUGUAGUCAGAGAAUGGGGAUAAAUUGGAAUCGCUCCGUGAAAAGAGAAAUUGCCUAUUUAAUAGGUGAGUUGAGGGCACUGUGGAAUCAUUUAUGGAAUUUUGGAAGAAGCGCCAUUGUAAAAUAAAUGAGGUAUCGUGGACAAGUCAGUUUUGUUAGUCAAAGGAAACCGUGAUCUAAAUUUCAGCAACCCAUAUAGAGGAGACGAAUAUGGACGUGGCGGGGAUGCACAGAUAUUCACAAUGAUCUCAUCUCGUAGACGUUAUCAGGAGCAAAUACUUUCUAGUAGGCUAUGGAACAUGUAUGUGUGGCAUGUUUGGAUUAUACGGCUUCUGUGCUUUGGAAUUAAAACCCAGAAGGGGAUGUAUACCCAUGGACAGAAACCCACAUACAAGAAAACUUUCAGGAGAGGCUUGGCUAUAUCUGCUCCCUGACUUCUUUCCUUCUUCCUGCUUCCUCGAGUCUAUCCCCGCUUCCUUGACCUUCUGCCUGCUGCUUUGCCCGACUGACCAAUCCUUCUCUUGGCUGGCUGGCUUGCUCCAUCCACAUGCUUAAGCACAGGACAUGCAGGUGCUACAGGCUAUUGGUUGGAGCCACAAGUACUCACACUGGCGAUGAGAAUGUGAAGUCCACAUAAUUUUCCCACAAGCACAAGAGUGGACAUGGAGAAAAAAAAAUCUAAGAAUGAGUGUAUUAUAUUGGGAAAAAAAAAACACACAGAAGAUCCUGUCUCUUGGACCACCGGCAUUGGCACCAUCCAGGAGUGUGUUAGAAAUGCAGGGUAUAAAAAAAAAAAAAAAAGAAAUGCUGAAUAUCAGACCCCAAACUGGACCUACUAAAUCUGAAUGCUUUGUUUUGCUUUUUUUUUUUUUUUAAUAUUUUUAUUUUUUUAGAGAGGGAGAGCUAGCAGGGGAGGGGCAGAGAGAGAGGGAGACACAGAAUCCAAUGCAGGCUCCAGGCUCUGAGCUGUCAGCACAGAGCCUGACGCGGGGCCUGAACCCACAGACCGUGAGAUCAUGACCCGAGCUGAAGUCGGGCGCUUAACGGACUGAGCCACCAGGGCUCCUCAUGAAUGUGCUUUUUUAGUAAGAUUGCUAGGGAGCUGUAUGUACAUUAAAAGUUUCAGAACCACUUCCCAGGAAACAGAUUAGAUUAAAACUCAAGUUCUUAUAGCAGCACAGCACAGCGUAGCAGUAAAAGCAUGGAACCUGAUGCUAGAAUGCCUAGGUUCACCACCUACAAUACGGAUCACACAACUUUCUUCACCUCUCAGAGACUCACUUUUCUCAUCUAUAAAAUCAGAAUGAUAAUAGUACUCCCCCAUUGGGUUGUAAUUGAAUUAAUAAUUGCAGAAUGCUUAGAACAGUGACUGGCACUUGGCAAUGAAGUGCCAUGUAAGCAUUGGAUAAGUAACCCGUUUCUGAAGCUCACGGUAACAUAGGCAAAAUGUUCUAGAACUUCUUUAUAAACUUUAUGGAGUGAUAAUCAAGGCCUACUUGACUCAUUUCUCCACAUUCUCACCCACUGCUUCCUUACUUCCUCUUUUGGGCUGCCUCUGAGCUGGGCAUAUAUAUCAACUCUGUGCUUAUUACUCUGUAAUGUAAUAAUUUAUCACUCUGCCUUCCACACCAUACUAUGAGCCCUUGGGAACAAGGACUGUAUCCUAGUCUUUUUGGUAUUGCUUCAGAGUCUGGCAUCUGAUAGUAGGCACUCGAUAAAUGCUUUUAUUUUUUAUUUUGAUUUUUUUAUAUUAAAAACAAUUUAUUGUCAAAUUGGUUUCCAUACAACACCCGGUGCUCAUCCCAACAGGUGCCCUCCUCCAUACCCAUCACCCAUCUUUCCCUUCUCUCGAUAAAUGCUUUUAAAAUGAAUGAACAGAUGUUUGAUUCAUCAUUAGUUCUUAAUUUUUCUCAAGGCUUAGACAUUUCUUUGUUUUUCUCAUGCAUUUUUCUCUUAAUAUUAUUUAACACCAUCAAUUUAUAUUCAUGGGGAACCUAUUGUAUAUAGCUGUACGUAUGUUUUCAUUCACUAAGUACAUUUCACGUUAUUCAUAUUAGGUUUGAAAGUGGUGCCUGAUAGUCCUGAUAAUGCAAAACCAAGCAGAUUUCUCUAACAUAAUUAUUCCAGGGAGAGUUUCUGCUCUAAGUGAGUCUGGCCUUGUAUCCUUCACUAACAGCAGGAUGUGACUUCUUCCAGUUUUAGCUCCCUUGCACACACAUUACGACGUGUGUUAUGCCCUGGCCAUUCGGACCUAAUUAAGGCAUACGUUCCUAUCUUUAAAGACUCAGCAAAAAACUAGCAAACCAAAUCCAGCAGCAACACACAAAAAGGAUUAUAUACCAUGAGAAAGCAGGAUUUAUUGCAGGAGCGCAAGGUUGGUUUAACGUCAGAAAAUCAAUUAAAUUAGUAAUAUGUUAUAGUGAGAGAAUAAAAAACAGAAAGUACACAAUCAUCUGAAGAGACCCAGAAAGACAACUGACAAAAUCUACCACCUUUUCGUGACAGACACUCAGCAAGCUAGGAAUGGAAGGGAAUUUCCUCCCACUGAUACAGAAAAUCUGUGAAAAACUGUCAACGAGGUGACUGAAUGGUCAAAGACUGAAUGCUUUCCCUUUAAGGCUGGGGACAAGAGAAGGAUGUCGCUCUCACCGCUUGUAUUCAACAUUCUGCUGGAGGUUCUUCAGGCAAAGGCAGUGGGAAUGACUGCUAAUAGAGUUCUUUUUGAGAGGAUAGAAAUGUUCUCCACUUAGAUUAUGGUGAUGUUGCACAACUCUGUAAGUAUACUAAAAACCACUGAAUGGUACAGUUUAAACAAGUAUGUUUUUAUGUUAUAUAAAUUCUAUUUCAAUGUAGCUGUUAAAAAGCCAUUAUAAUACAGGGAUGCCUGGUUGGCCAGUCAGUAGAGUGUGUGACUCUCAUUCUUGGGGUUGUGAGUUCGAGCCCUACGUUGGGUGUAGAGAUUACUUAAAAAUAAAAUCUUAGAGGCGCCUAGGUGGCUCAGUUGGGUGAGCGUCAGACUCUUGAUUUCAGUUCAGGUCAUGAUCUCAUGGUUUGUGGGCUCUGAGCGGAUGGUGUGGAGCCUGCUUAGGAUUCUCUCUCUCUCUUCUCUCUCUGCCCCACUCCUGCAUGCACAUUUAUUCUCUCUCUCUCUCAAAAUAAGUAAAUAAAAAACUUUAAAACCAUCUCAAGAAAAAGUCAUUAUAGUACAAAAUGACAAGUGACAAAUGUAAUAACCCCUAGCCUUUUCCUAAGCACUGAGGGCAUACCAGGCAGCAUACUAAAGUCUUUAAAUAUAUUAUGUCUGUAAUCACAUAUAAGGUAAAUGUUGCUAUUAUCUUGAUUUCACGGCUUUUGGCAGAUGGGGAAACUGAGGCUUAGAAAGCUUCAGUAAUCUCUCAAGGUUACACAACUAACAAGGGGUGAAGCUCGAAUUCAGUCUUAAAUACUAUGAGGCUACAAUGUAUAUACAGCACAAGCAAAGGGGAAGGAUCUUCCAAAUUCUGUUACUGAACACACGCUUUGAAUAUUAAAUAUUUAUGCCAUUGUAAUUCUGUGGACUUAUACAGGCCAUUUCCUUUGGUAUGAGGUUGGGGACUGGACUUGGACCAGGGCGCUCAUCUGAGGCAUAAAACGUUGAAGGGGGCUGAGCUGAAAGGCAGAUUCCGGCAUGGUAAGACCACACAACCUUUCAUUCAGCCUACAGCAAUGAUAGCGUCCUAUCCAAAAACUCUUCAGCACACACAUGCCUAACAGUAAGACCAUUCUCUUCCUUCAACUCCUGGGAAAACAACAGGAAACCGCAGACUUGCAGCAUCCCACUGUGGCUCUUAGGACACAACCCAGCUCAUGGAAAGUGAACAUUCAAGAAGAAGGGGCGGGACAACAGCAGGUGAAAAGGGGCGGUGGCAGAUUUUCCCUCCUGCUGCUAAAACAAUGGGCGGACUCAGUGAGCUCUGAAGCACGGGGACCUUCUCUUCUGUGGAGGUAAAAAGAAAGUUUUACCCUCCCUCAUUCUCUCUGGCCUCCCUUUUGCGACCUGUCUUUACUUUCAGGGUGUUUGGAUGUUUCUUUUGAUGCGUUUAGAAGUAUUGAAUCAGAAGGUGAAAAUAGGGCAGGGAGAGAAAUGGGAGUUUGCUGGGCUCAUCACCACUGUCACGUGUUGCCUGGGAAGUGACCUGCAAGGGAAGUAGGGACCUGCCACUGGUCUCCCUCCUGGGCCCUGAAUCCGUUUUUCUUUUUUUUUUUUUAAUUACAAAAGUAAGACAUCUUGUUUUUAUACAUUUCACCUCAAUUUCACCUCCCUGUCAAUUUCAGAGCAAUUGCCCUAUAGUUUUACUCUGGGAAAAAGCCCAAGUAAACUUCAGGCACUAGAAAAUAGCUAGCAGGAGACCUUUAGAAGAGAAAACAAAAUAAGCUCAGAAUACUUAAAAAAAACCCACGUGCAUGGAGCCUUCUACAAAUCUUCCGAAAGAGGUAGGGAGCCACAGGAAUGAAUGACAUAAAUAUUGUGAUGUCCAGGUACUGAGGACCUUCUCUGUGCCGGUAAGUUGGUUGACCUGCAGAGCAGAAGCUUGGGCUCAGGGUCCCUCGCUUUCAUGGAAUCCCUUGCAAGGUCCUUGUGUGGUAGGAUCCUCUCCCUAAGGAAAGAGAAAAACCAAAAACCCUCAAGGUAACCCGGCUAUGCGCGCAGGCGACAACAUCCCUCGUGACCUUUAACUGAGGCCACUUAAUCAGACUGCAUGUUUGUGUGUGUUACCAUACAUGGGAAACAGAGAAGUAAAAAACAUAUAAAAAAAUACACCGUGUGGCGUUUGGGCACACACCCAUCUGAGUGGUGCUGGCACGAAUAAAGCUGCUUCCUGGAGAGAAAAGCCCGGGUGUCAUGACUUUCUGUGCAUUUCCACCUCCUUUGCCACCGGGGAUGUGGAUCUCGGGGUGACAGGAGAGGCAGCUUACUUGGCACCAGAGGACCCACUUGAUCCGCAGGAGACCAGCCCUCCCAGCGCAGCAGGGUGGGGACCUGGGUGCGCAAUGGAACCCGUGAGGCCCAGGAGCCUGCUCAAGGAGCGCCCGUCAGACUGGUGAGAGCCCGGGUUCGUUUUGGCAGACCUGCCCCUAAGAGGCAGAAGGGGAGCCUGAUCACCUCCCAGCAUGGCCCUAGUAGGUCCAAGAGGGAUGAGGAAUGAAGCCGCAACUCUAAGGCGCUGGGCGCUGGCUGGCGGGUUGGAGUGGCCGUGUGACUGUGUGUGGGGAUUUGUCUCUCGUUCAUUUCCUGGGUCAGUGACUAUGAUCAUUAGAGACAACUGUCUCUGGUCGGUUUACCUCAGAACGGGGACUUUAAGGAAUAUUCCCAAGCAGCUGCUGAAACUCCUUUUGUUUCGGGGAAACUCCCUGUCUUCUCCAGAUUGACACGGACUGGGGGCGGGGGGGGGGGGGGGGGGACAAAACAAAACAAAACAGAACAAAAGAAACCUGGAGUCUGCUCCUCGGUCUGACCUGAUAAGAUUUAAACCAAGGAAUUCUCUUUCUCUGCCUUCUGCUGGCACCUCGCCUCUUCUGCCUGCCCUUCCCCCCCUCCUGUUUCUGCCCCACCUGGGGGGCGGCCUGCACAACUGGCUCCCCAAUGCCUCAGGCACCAUCAACUCCUCCUCCCACCCUAGAUGUCGAGGAGCGAAGACCCCGGAUGUCAGAUUUCCCCACCAACGUUCCAGGCCAAGUAUCCAAACGCAGUACGACGAUUAGAGGCAUCUCCAGAAAACUUCUUAACUAAAUUUUUCUCUCAGCCCCUGGGAUGCAUGUGGGAAAAAACUAAUUUUUUUCUCAUUCUUUCUGGAUAAUACCGGAGAGCCUUACUGCCUUGUAGGAAGGGACAUUAUAACUAAAUUAGAGACUAUAGUACGAGUAACUCCAGAACAAAUAAACAAUUGUAUGAAUUUUGGGAAAUUAUUGGAUAUUGUAGGCUGUAGAUACCAGGGUUCAGGAAAAUGGUUUGCCUGCUAUAUCAAUUAUUAAAGGAGACUCAAUCCCACCUACUCUCCAAAAAACAAACAAACCAGGGUCUGACUCCUAGGCACUGUCUCCAGCCCUUGGAAUGGUUCUAAACAGAGCAGGGCAAUUACUAUUACCAAGCUCACAGGGCUAAAAGAUCAUUAAAACACAGCAUCAGGCCUUUCAUUUAGGGAAGGACAAGAUUUAUCAAAUGGCCCAAAGGAUGUUUACUGGAAAAAAUUUGUCAAGGACAGUUCUGCAAGUAGUGUCAGCCUGUGAAGUAUAUCUUGGAAACAGUCCUCUCAACAAACUCUCUCUCCCAGGCAGUCAAAGAACUGGAGGCUAAUCCCCGGAAGACUGACAAUUAGGUUUCACUCAUAUGCCAAGGUCGAAGGAAUGCCAACAUCUGUUGGUAUGGAUUGAUACUUUUACUAAUUGAGUAAAGGCCUUCUUCUACAAGACAGAAAAGGCACAAGAAGUAAUAAAAGUUCUGCUUUAUAAAAUGAUACCCAGGCUUGGCUUACCUAAAAAUUUGCAAAUUAAUAAUGGUAAAUGGCUGCUUUGACUCUUUCUCUAGUAGAACUCCUGGCUCAUAGAAGAGUUUUACCCCUCAAAAUAAAGCAAACUGUCUGCUGAUGCUCAGCAAAACUCUAAAUAACACCUCAGAAGCAUUAGAUGUUUAAAAAAAAUGUUUUCUAAGUUGAUCUAGGGCCGAACUCUUGGAAAUAGAGCCACCAUUGGUUACGCGCUGCUCCUGUUCCUCCAUCACCUGAGUUAUGAGAGAUCCCCUGACAAAGUCAGGGUCUCUCCUAGGUUGUUUGACGGGUUUGGGAACUAAGGACAUUAUCUUAAGACGCCAUCUUGUUGGUCAGUAUAAUCGUUACUUUGUGUUUUUCUCUGUGUGUCUGCUGAUGUUUAUACCACCUCCUGCCUGCCAGCCUUCCUGUAGAAACAUGCUGUGGGCCACUCGACCGACCCACGGGUGGACUCUAACUGCUGUACCCCUCCCUACACCGCCCCCUGUCAGCUUGAAGAAGCUGCAACGGUCAUCGUCCCUGUUCCCUGACAGCAGUUAUAGGCCCUGUUCCAGGGGUGGAAUAAACAGGGAAAGGGUUAACAUGAGGCAGGGAGAGAUAAGGGACCGCAGCUGCAGGUGGGGGGCUGAAGAAGCAGACGGGCUUCUCCCCGUAUAGGAUCUUUGACAGGCACCCUCCCCCCAUUAUCAAGGGCAUAAGGGGGAGGAUCUAAAUGCGAUGGACAACCUAACCCUAAGACAACAGAUGCGGGCCCUCGGGCUCUGCCCUAAUCACCUUACACCUCUGGGUCAGGGAGCCAUUACCUGUGAGUCUGACCACAGACGCUCACCCCUUUAAACCAGGAGAUGCAAUAUGGAUAAAGGAGUGAAAUGUCCAACCCCUAAAACCCCUCUGGAGGGGCCCGUUCACUGUCAUUUUGUCCACCCCUCCUGCAGUAAAGGUGGCCAAAGUGUGUCCCUGGAUUCACCACAGCAGAGUGAAGCCGGCAUCUCGAAACUGGGCAUGCAUUCCUGACCCAUCAAUGCUGUGCAAGCUGACCAUACGGAAGAUUCUGCAACUCCAGAGGCUCCGGGAGACUGCAGCCCUGCUUUAGUCACUCCGGAAGCUGCCUGAUCUAUGCACAGCAGAAGGCUGAGGAACCGACCGUCUGGUGAGACAGAUGACCGUCUUAUUUUCUAUAUGUUUCCUUACUUGUGAUGCACUGUCGCCCUUGUUUCUCACUAUUACUGUGAUGUUUGCUCUACUCUUUGUCACAGGAUUGGCCUAGGCCGCCCCGGUUGUCUGCAAAUGUGGGGAGAGGUUUCUGUGAACACUCACCUUCCUCUUGUGGAUAGGAUACUUCAUUGGUAUCAAUGUGGGAAAACAGUGGCCAUAAGAGACUAGAAAAUUAGAUCCCCACAAACUUUAGAGUAAAACAAAAUACCCCAGUCCUACUACCGGGGUUUGGCUUCUCAAAAGCUCAAAUAAUUGGGAAGAACUUUCUUCCCUAGUGGGGGAAAAGUUCAUCGUCGUCUCUGUUAAAAACUUAACAUUCCUAGGCCAACUGAACUGCCAGGAAAACCCAGUGGUGGGGGCCCCAGAUCACCUUGAGCCAGAUCCCCAUCCAUUUUCUAACUUUUCUCAUCUCUGAGAGGCCUGGGACAGUUGUCAACACAGCCAUCAAAUGGCGGGUCCCAGGUGGACUGUACUAGAUAUGUGGAAGGACAGCUCUACAGUACUUCCCUUGGUCUGGUCACGGUCACGUGUGCUGGGAACUCUUCGUCCAUCUUUCUUCCUGCUCCCACUUGCCAGAGGGAAACAUUCGGGAGUCCAAGUGUAUGGGGAGAGGGAGACGCAAAGAAAGCAGCAUGCCUUACAAAUUGGCAAUUAAAAAGGCAAUAAAGGGCCUCCCGAGCAUAUAAUCCAAUAUUAUGGCCCUGCCGCCUGGACAGAGGACGGGUCCUCAGGCUACUGCACUCCCAUUUACAUGCUAAACCGCACAAUCAGACUAUAGGCAAUUAUAAAAAUUAUAACCAACAAAACUGCCAGAGUGGUUGACUUACUAGCCAAGCAGCAAACCAAAACACACAAUGCUACCUAUCAAAAUUGCUUGGACUUAGAUUACCUGCUUGCUUCCCCCCCCCCCCCCCC